Molecule: ribosomal RNA, 313 nt
Filed under: uncultured bacterium
Lineage: Bacteria
Description: bacterial SSU rRNA
Rfam family: Bacterial small subunit ribosomal RNA
Source: RNAcentral
AAUCAACGCUGGCGGCGUGCCUCAGACAUGCAAGUCGAACGAUUAAAGCUCUCUUCGGAGAGUGCAUAGAGUGGCGCACGGGUGAGUAACACGUAAGUAAUCUACCUUCGAGUGGGGAAUAACAUCGGGAAACCGAUGCUAAUACCGCAUAAUGCAGCGGCAUCGCAAGAUGACAGUUGUUAAAAGGUAAUUUAUUUCGCUUGAAGAGGAGCUUGCGGCAGAUUAGCUAGUUGGUAAGGUAAUGGCUUACCAAGGCUACGAUCUGUAACCGGUCUAAGAGGACGGUCGGUCACACUGACACUGAAUAACGGGU